This 243-nucleotide ribosomal RNA is filed under the name uncultured Pseudomonas sp. RNAcentral describes it as "partial 16S ribosomal RNA". It matches the Rfam family "Bacterial small subunit ribosomal RNA", at positions 109 to 354 of the family's 1533-position model. The record is from RNAcentral. Lineage: Bacteria; Pseudomonadati; Pseudomonadota; Gammaproteobacteria; Pseudomonadales; Pseudomonadaceae.
AGUAAUGCCUAGGAAUCUGCCUGGUAGUGUGGGACAACGUUUCGAAAGGAACGCUAAUACCGCAUACGUCCUACGGGAGAAAGCAGGGACCUUCGGGCCUUGCGCUAUCAGAUGAGCCUAGGUCGGAUUAGCUAGUUGGUGAGGUAAUGGCUCACCAAGGCGACGAUCCGUAACUGGUCUGAGAGGAUGAUCAGUCACACUGGAACUGAGACACGGUCCAGACUCCUACGGGAGGCAGCAGAU